RNAcentral lists this long non-coding RNA (702 nucleotides) under Nicotiana tabacum (common tobacco). RNAcentral's name for it is "long non-coding RNA (NTAB_LNC019200)". Lineage: Eukaryota; Viridiplantae; Streptophyta; Magnoliopsida; Solanales; Solanaceae. The record is from RNAcentral.
AGCUUGUGACUUCAAUCAUAUCUUGAGCAAUCUGCAUCUUUUAUCCGCUUCUGCACUUAGAGUUCAACUUCUUUUCUUGUUUUUCUUUUCUUUUAUUUGGAUUGAGACUUCUUCUUUUGGUCAUCUCAAACCUCGUGCCUCAUGGUAAAAAAUAUGUUCAGACACCAAAACAAACAAACGAAGAAAAUGUUUCUGCCCUAGUUUUCACUAGAAAAAUUUCAUGAAAGCAAUAAAAUCAGGAUUGUGUAUCCUUGAGGAAAAGAGAUUAAGGAGUGAAAACUCUAUGUCUAAAAUGAAACCAAAUGGGGAUCGGAAGCCCUAAGUUUGAAAGAUUGUCAGGUUAUGCUGGAAAAAUGAACGGGUUAUGCCAGAAAGGUCCUCGGGUUAUGCCGGAAAAGGUCCUCGGGUUAUGCCAGGGAUGUCCACGGAUUAUGUCGGGAAAAUCAUCGGGUUAUGUCGGAAAAGAAAAAGGUCCUCGGGUUAUGCCGGGAAAGUCAUCGGAUUAUGCCGGAAAAAGGCUCUCGGGUUAUUCCGGAGAGGUCCACGGGUUAUGCUGGGAAAGUCAUCGCGUUAUGCCGGAAAAGAAAAAGGUCCUCGGGUUAUGCCGGUGAGGUCCACGGGUUAUGCCGGGAAAUUCAUCGGAUUAUGCCGGAAAAGAAAAAGGUCAUCAGGUUAUGUCGGGGAGGUCCACGGGUUAUGCCA